This 671-nucleotide ribosomal RNA is filed under the name unidentified microorganism. RNAcentral describes it as "bacterial SSU rRNA". It matches the Rfam family "Bacterial small subunit ribosomal RNA", at positions 53 to 719 of the family's 1533-position model. The record is from RNAcentral.
ACAUGCAGUCGAGCGGAUGAGAANGAGCUUGCUCUUCGAUUCAGCGGCGGACGGGUGAGUAAUGCCUAGGAAUCUGCCUGGUAGUGGGGGACAACGUUUCGAAAGGAACGCUAAUACCGCAUACGUCCUACGGGAGAAAGCAGGGGACCUUCGGGCCUUGCGCUAUCAGAUGAGCCUAGGUCGGAUUAGCUAGUUGGUGAGGUAAUGGCUCACCAAGGCGACGAUCCGUAACUGGUCUGAGAGGAUGAUCAGUCACACUGGAACUGAGACACGGUCCAGACUCCUACGGGAGGCAGCAGUGGGGAAUAUUGGACAAUGGGCGAAAGCCUGAUCCAGCCAUGCCGCGUGUGUGAAGAAGGUCUUCGGAUUGUAAAGCACUUUAAGUUGGGAGGAAGGGUUGUUUCCUAAUACGAAGCAAUUUUGACGUUACCGACAGAAUAAGCACCGGCUAACUCUGUGCCAGCAGCCGCGGUAAUACAGAGGGUGCAAGCGUUAAUCGGAAUUACUGGGCGUAAAGCGCGCGUAGGUGGUUUGUUAAGUUGAAUGUGAAAUCCCCGGGCUCAACCUGGGAACUGCAUCCNAAACUGGCAAGCUAGAGUAGGGCAGAGGGUGGUGGAAUUUCCUGUGUAGCGGUGAAAUGCGUAGAUAUAGGAAGGAACACCAGUGGCGAA